RNAcentral lists this small nuclear RNA (160 nucleotides) under Mnemiopsis leidyi (sea walnut). RNAcentral describes it as "U1 spliceosomal RNA". It matches the Rfam family "U1 spliceosomal RNA". From Rfam's summary of the family: U1 is a small nuclear RNA (snRNA) component of the spliceosome (involved in pre-mRNA splicing). The record is from RNAcentral. Lineage: Eukaryota; Metazoa; Ctenophora; Tentaculata; Lobata; Bolinopsidae.
AUACUUACCUGAUGUCGAGGUUAAGCUGAUCUGACAGGGUCUUCCUCCGGGCCGAGUCUCUCCAUUGCACACCGGUUAGAUGAAACCUGCAGUUAGGACAAAUCGUCCUACUCUGGGCAUAUAAUUUAUGGUAGCGGGUGCUGCGGAAACGCGGCACCUU